This 498-nucleotide ribosomal RNA is filed under the name uncultured bacterium. Its description in RNAcentral is "partial 16S ribosomal RNA". It matches the Rfam family "Bacterial small subunit ribosomal RNA", at positions 29 to 523 of the family's 1533-position model. The record is from RNAcentral.
AUUGAACGCUGGCGGCAUGCCUUACACAUGCAAGUCGAACGGUAACGCGGGGCAACCUGGCGACGAGUGGCGAACGGGUGAGUAAUGUAUCGGAACGUGCCCAGUUGUGGGGGAUAACUGCUCGAAAGAGCAGCUAAUACCGCAUACGACCUGAGGGUGAAAGCGGGGGAUCGCAAGACCUCGCGCAAUUGGAGCGGCCGAUAUCAGAUUAGGUAGUUGGUGGGGUAAAGGCUCACCAAGCCGACGAUCUGUAGCUGGUCUGAGAGGACGACCAGCCACACGGGGACUGAGACACGGCCCAGACUCCUACGGGAGGCAGCAGUGGGGAAUUUUGGACAAUGGGCGCAAGCCUGAUCCAGCCAUGCCGCGUGCGGGAAGAAGGCCUUCGGGUUGUAAACCGCUUUUGUCAGGGAAGAAAAGGCUCCUGUUAAUACCGGGGGCUCAUGACGGUACCUGAAGAAUAAGCACCGGCUAACUACGUGCCAGCAGCCGCAGUAA